RNAcentral lists this ribosomal RNA (363 nucleotides) under uncultured bacterium. RNAcentral describes it as "partial 16S ribosomal RNA". It matches the Rfam family "Bacterial small subunit ribosomal RNA", at positions 338 to 700 of the family's 1533-position model. The record is from RNAcentral.
CCUACGGGGGGCAGCAGUGGGGAAUAUUGCACAAUGGGGGAAACCCUGAUGCAGCGACGCCGCGUGAGUGAAGAAGUAAUUCGUUACGUAAAGCUCUAUCAGCAGGGAAGAAACACUGACCUUACGGUCAGCAGACGGUACCUGAGUAAGAAGCCCCGGCUAACUACGUGCCAGCAGCCGCGGUAAUACGUAGGGGGCAGGCGUUAUCCGGAGUUACUGGGUGUAAAGGGAGCGUAGACGGGGCGCCAAGUCUGGAGUGAAAUGCCGCAGCUUAACUGCGGAACUGCUUUGGAAACUGGCGAACCAGGAUGCGAGAAGGGUAAGCGGAAUUCCUAGUGUAGCGGUGGAAUGCGUAGAUAUUAG